Long non-coding RNA from Chelonia mydas (Green sea turtle), 743 nucleotides. RefSeq lists it as uncharacterized. The transcript has 4 exons. Lineage: Eukaryota; Metazoa; Chordata; Testudines; Cheloniidae. The record is from RefSeq and is a predicted model, not a curated record.
GGCACUCUGUAUCCAUUCACUGAGGAAACCCCUUCGGGAGCGAGGGGCUUUCAUGAACAUGUGGCUCCUGAUUCUUGUGCAAUCAGUCAGCUCUGCAACAGGCUGAACUUGGGAGAGAUCCUACCUUAGUAUAUAGGAAAGCUAAUUGUUGUUCCCCCUCACAGACUCUUGCUGGUGCUUCCACACUGCAGCCUGAGUGACUCCUCCGGAUCUGUGGGCUCCUUGCUAGGUGACGCUGAGAUCACCUGCUAAACCAAAUCCAGGCCUCUCCCCACAGUGUGAAACCAAAUGCAGACAAGCCUGACUUCUACUUGGGGGAAGUUUGAAGGUGAAAAGAAGAAAAUCCUGAGAUUUUACAGACCAGUUCACUGUGGGCCCCCACACAGCGAGCACCGACCGUGGGACCCAACGGGCAAACAGUUUCCGUGUAGUACAGAAACCAUCACUGAAGACAAUUUCCCUGUACAGAAAUGUUAUAUUAUAGCACAGCCAUCCCACGAGAAGCAUCACGAAUCUCAGUAAGGAGGAAAUGUCCAGCUAUAUGAAAUAUACUCCCUUGGUUCCUGUGCUCAGGACUCACUCUAGUGGCUAGCUCCCGCAACAGUAACAGUCUGUUACUCCCUCCCCAAGAAGAAUUACGCCUACAAAAGUGGCAGGAGUUGGUGCUUUUGGUGUUGAACACCCCUGGUUCAAACCCCUCCCCCAGGAUGGUGUCUGUGUACAUGAAGCUGUAAGUGUGUGAC